Molecule: long non-coding RNA, 516 nt
Filed under: Olea europaea subsp. europaea
Lineage: Eukaryota; Viridiplantae; Streptophyta; Magnoliopsida; Lamiales; Oleaceae
Source: RNAcentral
AUACAUCAAAACCCCCUCCAAAAAUCCCCAAAAGUCUCACCUUCACCUUGUCAUUGGAUAUUCAUCAAUCCUUUUGUCAACCAGAUUGCUGUCUCUCGGCCGUAGUAAUUACGUCCUAAAAUCUCCCAAAAACCCCCCAAAACCAGUCGAUUACAGAGAGAAAUCACAUCUACUAUCUGUUAUAAUAUUCGGUUUGAGCCCAUUGAUGAAGUGGCCUUUCAUGAAGGCUUUGGAGAUGUCUACUCCGAAGAAGAUAAAGAGAUCUUUGGACGACUUCGUAAUGAUGGAGGUUAUGGGUUUUGAUAUGGAAGAUGAUAGAGUGAUGGUUUUUUAUGAUGCGGUGGGUAAAGCAUGGAAGAUUUUGGGGAAUUUUGAUACUUUUGUUAACUGUUAUUUGUAUGAAGGUAAACGACGAUUUUUGGGAAUUUUAUUUCUAUUUAUUUAUUUAUAUUUUGUUACUGAAUUAUUGAAAGAAUCAGUAUCGUCAAAUAUUAUGGGUGUAAUAUUAUAUGUUUG